AGUUUCCAUGUCUUGAAGGAACUGAAAUAACCCAAGAGGUCUAGAUUCAUUCCAGAGAGCUACCCAAUUCACGCCAGGCUGGCAUGAUGUGACAUAGAAUAUGUUCUGAUGAAUAUUCCACUACGAAGUGGAAAUUUUGAUCCUCUUCUUCCGUAAUAAGUUAAAUUUCCAAUUGGCGGUGCCGUAUUUGUAUCUGUAUCGACUUUUGGGGAAAAGUGACCAUUAAAACCCUGGUUCGAGUCUCGCCAACUGACGAAGGCAUUGUUCAACCAAAAACUUACAGCGAAACGCGCUUGUCGGGACAAGCAGAUCAGAAAUCACCAACAUUAAUUGGAGGAACACAAUCCUAUCAGAAGAUGUUGCAGUCAGACCAAGGAAAUGUGUCACAGGAGCAUGGAAAUCAUUCUGCUAUUCCUCAACAUCAAUCAGCAGCAAUGACGGGCACUGCUGCCAAUGGAGGUGCAAGACAACGCGUGAGGGCUCGUCGAGGUCAAGCUACUGAUCCACAUAGUAUAGCUGAGCGGCUCCGAAGGGAAAGGAUUGCAGAAAGAAUGAAGGCUUUGCAGGAACUUGUUCCAAAUUCUAAUAAGACAGAUAAAGCAUCUAUGCUGGAUGAAAUAAUUGAUUAUGUCAAAUUUCUACAGCUGCAAGUAAAGGUUUUGAGCAUGAGCAGGUUAGGUGGAGCAGGUGCAGUUGCACCUCUAAUUGCUGAUGUUCCUACUGAGGGAUCUGGUGGUCUGGGAUCAACAGCUUUGGUUCAAGCAUGUCAAUCACUGCCAGAAGAUGGUCUAGCUUUUGAGCACAAAGUUGCAAAGCUCAUGGAGUCCAACAUGACCAGUGCUAUGCAGUAUUUGCAAAAUAAAGGUCUCUGCUUGAUGCCAAUUGCACUGGCCAGUGCCAUAUCAAGUUCAACUGGAAAGCCUCUUCUGGGAGCUGGGCCAACAACUUCUGUGGAUGGUACCAAUGACAGACAAAGUUCAGGAACACAGCUUACUACAUUACCUAUCAAUAACUGCUCACCACGUGUUGGAAUUGGAGCUGGUGGGUUUGGAAGUGAUGGCUCUUUAAAGGAAGUGUCAGAAAAGAAAAUGGUGAGAGGUGUAUUCUCAAGUUUCAACAAAUAAGUCAAAUUUAUCUACAUUUGGAAUUUAAUGAAGUGCACUCCCAACUUAGGAAUAAAGAAUAGGGAAGACAUUCCAGCUUCGUUGAUGUCGAGUUCAACAGGAGCGUUGCAACUUACAAUAGAUUGAAAGUAAUCUAGUAGGCACAUGAUAUGGAAAGAAUGUAGGUUCAAAGCAUCUGACAAAGCUUACCUUGUAAUGAUCUGGUCAUUUUACAUUACAGUGAUAAAAAAAUUAGACCUAGCUAUCAACAAUAUGCUGGGCAUUACGAUAAUAUUUAUGUCUCAUAAAUAACACAAUCUUUGACACUUUCUAACAGAAAAUACUGGCAAGGAACUGUCAUGGUUGUGACAUGGCAGUGAGCCCUUUUCUUUUUGUUUUUUGAUUUUGGGCUAUAUUAAUUCACUAUAAAUCGUUUUUUGA
Molecule: RNA transcript, 1544 nt
Organism: Cryptomeria japonica (Japanese cedar)
Lineage: Eukaryota; Viridiplantae; Streptophyta; Pinopsida; Cupressales; Cupressaceae
Gene name: bHLH transcription factor RHL1
Exons: 8
Source: RefSeq, a predicted model, not a curated record